UACUAAAAUUCAAUUAGAUAGAAGUUAUUUAGUGAUGAAUUAAAUAAAUAUUAUCGAUAAAAUUCGUAGCUAAUUUUAUGUUUUUUAAAUAGUGACAUAUAGAAACUCAAGAAACAAACUCUAUUUCUACUAUAUUUUUGUAUAAAAUAUUAGGAGUAUUUAAUUUGUUGCCAUAAAAGGUACUUUUGCCAAACCUUUGAACAAGUUAGGAUUGAUUUUUGAAAUAGUAGGUGUUAUAGUUAGUUGUCGAUUGCAUGGAGAAGAUAAUAUUCUUUUACGUGGUAAUCUUUCUAGCAAUAGAAUAAGAUAUCAAGAUUUGUUUACCCUAUUAAAAUAUAUUUCUAGCCUUAGACAAACAUAGUAAGGAUUUCGUCAGAUGGCGAAUUUAGAAUUUUUUUAUUUUUAUGACUAAAACAAUUUAAAGAUAUUUUUAUAUGCCUGUGGUAUAUGGUAGUUGUUUAGCUUCCUUUUCUUUUCAAUUAUUAAUAUAGAAUUUUAUUUGUGCACUCAACAAUCACCCUCUCAAACUAAGUUUUGCAUAUUUAAUAUCACCAAGAUUCAUGGGUUAAUUUGAAGAUUAAUCACAAUGUAUCACACAACAUCAUUUCGAGUAUUUAUGAAAUCAAUAUAACCAACAAGGGUUGUGGUGGAGUGGUAAGUACUCCUUCAUCCUUAACCAAGAGGUCUCAGGUUUGAGCCCCCUUGGAUACGGAGUCGCCUUUGUUAGGGAGCGCUUUACCUCCAAUGUGGGACUUUCCGGCACGAAUCCGUAUUUAGUCGGGCUCCAAUGUGGGUACCGGACACCGAGUGGGAAACCAAAAAAAGAAAUCAAUGUCUACAAGUUUUUUAUUUUGUGUGUGCAUCUCCAAAUUACGAGCAAAGGUAACUUGGAGUCAUUACUAUGUCCUCGUGAUCUCCGUACUUGUCUCAAUAAAUCAUUAAUACUGAUAUUAGUUGUUACGCUAAAAUAACUAAAAAAAAUACUUUUAACAUGGUGAGAUAUUAUCAAUUUUAAACAAAAUUUGUGUGAUUUUUACAAAAUAAAUUCUUAUACCUAAUAUUUAACUUCCUUUUUCUUUUCAGUUACCUAUAUGAAAUUUUAUAUGCAUACUCAACAAAUUUGGAACCAAAUCAUCCACCAAAAUUAUUAUAAUCGUUUUCUUAAUUAUUAUUUUAUUUACAAAAAUCAUAAUCAUUUUCUCAUUAUUCUCUUUUUCUUAAUUAUUAUUUUCUAUAUAAAAAUCAUAAUCAUUUUCUUAUUAUUCUCUGCAUAAUACAUAUAAAUUAACGCAAAGUUAAUGGAUUCAAGCAUACUUUGUCUUGUGUGUGGAUUCACCCCUGCAUGCUCUUAUGGAACAACACCUCCACCAUCACUCGAUAAGUAGAAAUAUUAUUGAUUCUCUUGUACUGAGAAAAAUAAAAAAAUCCAUACAAUAUAAUGUAUAGUAACAUUGGAUUUAGAUGUGUGUACUCUGAUUGGGCAGAGUAGCACGUUGAGUUAUUAAAUACAUAGUUCUAUUUGUAAUCAUUUUUUAAGUGAUCUAAUUGUGUAAAUCUUAUGGUAUGUAUUGUAAUUUACUGAGCAGCUGAAGAUAACAAGUCCUCGUCAUAAUAAAGUUGCAUGUAAUUAGGCUAAUCACUUGUAAUCUAUUGUACUUAAUGUUAUGAUAUAUUUUCUUAGUGAUAAUCUGGGACCAGUUAUAAAUUUUCUUCUUUCCAGUUCAUAUCCUCCUUUCAUUAAUUUAGCCAAUUAAUUGAUACAAAAUAAUUAAUUAAUGGAUACAAGAUUCACUAGAGUUAAUGGGAACAAAAAUCUCUACAUCGUAAUUUAAUUAUGGAAUUUUAAGUGGAUUCUUUAUGCUUCCUUGAUAAUUCUCUAAGUUAGCUUUUGAGCAUGAAUAAUUCUUAACAUGAUGUAAUUAGAGUCACACUUAUUUCAAUUCUUGAUUUAUCUGAUGUUGGAUACUCAUAUUAUGUUGUUUACGCUUCAGUUGACAGAUCUAGGCGCGCGUACUACAGAUCUAUAGAGAAUGCAUGUUAAUAGUCGCACAUAGUUCUUGACAUGGAAAAGUGGACUCUUUAUGUGAUCUUGGUCAAUCUUCAACUACCGAAAUAAAAUUCUAGAAUUGAAUCAUGCCCAAAAUUCAUUUCUUAACCCAAUUCAAUAGCUGCAUAAGUAAUAAAAAGAGGAACAACAUUGCUGCGUUAUAAUAACUUACUAAGUAAUAAUUUGAACCGUCACUAUACAACAAACACUACAACAAAUUUGCCCUCCAACAACAGUUGAAAAAUGUGGCCUAAACUAUAAAUAAAUAUAGCCUUUGAUCGAAGGCCACACUUUUUUACCUAUGACAACGCUUUUAAGGGGGUGGCCUAAACAAGCGUAACCUUUUCCCUAAGGCAACACUUUUAAGAGGAAAAGACUACGAAUUACAAGAAGCGUUGCCUUUGCAUUCACCUAUGACAACGCUUCUGUAUACCAUCUACGGGCACACUUUUGUGCUUUAAAACAACACUUUUGAAGUGUCACAUUUCAUUCUUUAUAGGCAACACUUUAAACUUGUUGCUUGUUUUUCAACAUUCAGCCACACUAUAAAAAUGUUGGUGAAGGUAGUUAUGUCUAUAUCUAUGUGGCCACAUUUAUACAAGCUAUGCCACGACUUUCUAAUUAAAAAUUAAAAUAUAAUAACAGUAUUUUUUAAAAAAAUUUAUUAUUAUAAUAUGUAUCUUGAAACCACUUUUUAAAUAAGAAAUAUAAAGCAUCACAUUAAAUAAUAGAGAACCAAAAAUAUCUUCACAAUACAAAAACUUUGAAAUAUUCUAAUAUUCAACAUCAACAGUUAGUAAUGCAAACUACUUCAAAGUUGUGCAAUAGUACUUUUAAUAAAUUUAAAACAUCCAAACUAUUCAUGUAGUAUCAUGAAUAAUAUUAGAUCAUAAAUGAAUAAAAUUGGUCAACCGAAUCAACUCAACUUUUCGGCCACCAUUUCCAAUUGCAUCGCCAUAAGUUUCCUACAGGUUAAAAGUGAAAUUGAAACUUGAUUAGAUAGAAAGUAAGUAUACUUAGAAAAUGUAAAACUAUAAUUCAAUAAUAUGUCAAACUGCAUUUAUGCAAAAAUAUAAUAUUAAUCUACAAUCUCGUUAUGAUGUGGGAGGCAGUAAAUCAUAGAUAUGCAGAAACACAUGAAAAUAAUGCUAAAAUGCAGCACACAAAUGCAGAAAAAUGUGGUAUUGAUUACAUAAAUGUAGAAAUAUAGAACAAACUUGAAGAAACAUAAUGCAGAAAAUAAGAACGCUGCAUAAAUGAAAAAGAUUGUAGAUAUCUUAGUAUCUAGUACCUAAAUAUAGUCAAACCGAUAAUACCUUUCCAAGAGUCGGGCCAUGAGUUAAUCCAGAGGAACGUGGAAGAUUUUGGCCUCUUGUAGCCCGUGCACUACUAGAACCAACCGGAGAUGGUUGGUCAGAUCCGAUAAACCCUUCUGCAUCCUCAAGGUUUAGUCCAGGAUUAUUUUUUACCAACAAUUUCAUGAGAUGUCGCAGUUGUUGCAAUUCUUGCACUUCUUCCUUCAAUCCCUCCAACUUUCUCAAUUCAACCACUUCUUCCUUCAAUUCUUUAACUUCUUCCUUAAAUGAAUUGAUUUCAUCAACAUGUUUUUGUUUGAUUUUGUUGAUUUCCUCAUCUUUUUUUAAAGAAGUUCUUGUCACAGAUCUACCAUAGCAUCGAACUCGACCAGGCUGCUCAUUUCCAAACACUGCCUUAAAUGAGUCAUCUGUUGUUUCCCCCAAGUGUUGACGAUUUUGAAGUUCAGCCUAUAAAUAAUACAUUAGGAAUUGUCUUGAUAAAGCAAGAUGAGAGCUAAAAGUCAAACACUGCCUUAAAUUAAGGUCAUGAAUCUUGUCAUAAGCAGGAAAGAAACAACACAUUGAAGUUACUGUACAUACAUGAUUACUUAGUUGAAAAGUCAAGGGAUUUGAAAAGCAAUUAACGGUCAAAAGAAUUACUUACAAUUACAACUUCAGUUUCAGAAUCAACUUGUUUUUCAUUCUUCGUACGAGUUGCAAUAAACAUUUCAGCCUUUGAUGGUUCCUCAUUAUUCUCUUUGGUUGCACGCUACAAAAAAAGUAAAAAAUAUAAGCAACUAAUAUGUAAUCUAACAAAAUAUAAAAGAUAAAAAAAUAUUUAUCUACAAAGUGUCUAAAAUGAUACCAGUGCCAUGCGUACUCUUCCAAAAUUAACAGGCCUCAUUCGAUGCCUCCAUUUUUGUUUCUUUCUGUUUUUGAGAAUUUAAAGAACACAUGGCCUGUAAUUUAAGAAAAAGUAAUUAAUAUAUAUAUGGGCUAAAGAAUUAAAUGCAUUAUUUGUAUCUCACUUUAACAGUUGGAAGCUCCCAAUACUCUAUCAACUGGUGAAAUUGAACUUAUGGUAUCCAACUAGUACAAUUUUUUAGCCUAUCUUCCAGUGUUUUAUACUUAUCAAAAUAAUUCUCCUUAACAUAUCUCUUAUGUCGCCUCCAAGCAUCACAAAGACCAUCCAUCACCCAUUUUUCUCCUUCUGCUGGAAUUAUAAACUUGGUUUACACAAAUAACAUAUAUGUUACUAGUAAAAUAGACAUAAUAAAACAGAAUCAUAAAAGGUUGAGUAUUCUUACAUUGACAUAUUCCCACAUGCGUAGUUUAGUAUCUUUUGGCACAGCAGGCCAACCAGUAUACAACAAGGUGAUGAAUCUAGAGUUCCUAGCAAUUGUUCCUAGAAAAUUGCUCAAAUCAGACACUCUUUUUCCAGUUGGUUCGAUAGCUUGUCCAUGAUCAAAUGUCACCUCCUCUCUUUCUUCAAAAUUUCUUGCAUGAAUAGUCUUACAUGUUGUGUGUCCUCGAACCUUUUUCUUCUCCAAAGUUCCUGAUUUAAUGUAAUAUUAAUAAAUAAGAUAAAACAUACUAUACAACUAUAAAAUUUACAAUGCGAGUUAAACUUAUAUAACUACCAAAAGAAGAUUUAAAACAUACCAUCUUUAGAACAAUUUAUGUCCAUAUUUUUAUCUCGAACACACUCAUCAACUUAUUCAGGCGCAACACCAUCAGCCACUUCGAUAUUGUUUUCAUUAAUACAUGGAGAUGGCAUAUAUCUAACAUCAUCUACUGGCUGAAUAUAAGGUUCUUCUUCACCACCACAUGUAUCCCAUUUUUUUCUAGAAAAUGAUUAAGACUCAUCGCUGGUACAAGUGACUUUUUCUUAGCUUUUUUGUAAUUUUGUAGCUCCUCAAUAUCAAGUUGAUUUUCUUCUUCACCUUGUGUUCUUUCAGUCAUAUGGAAAGUGUUAACUUCUUUCCUUGAUAAAAGUUAGGUCACAGAUUUAUGUAUAGGUAGUUUACUCCUCUCUUGCAUUUGAAUUGACCCCUCAAACUGAAUUGAUCUCUGCAUAGGUUGUCUUUCACUUUGCAUUUGAUGUAACAGACAUACAAUUCUUCCUUUUAUAAGGUGGUGCCUGAUCGAAAUUUUUUCCUUUCAUAACUAGAUUCUUGCGUUCAUUGUCAAGUUUUUCCUUCUUAAUUUGAAAUUGUUUGCGCAGCUGAACACUUGAUCAGAAUUGAUAAUCAAAACUUACAUUCUUUAUUGGACUUGAACCGUUGUUAGAAUUCAGAACCUUUUUCUUUAAGGCUGCUCCUUGAUUCAUUCUUCAUAUAAAAAUAAUAGUUAGUAUAGCAACUAAUAAGAAUUUAGUGCAGAAAAUAUAAAAAUGCAGUGUAAAAUUUGCAGAAAAUAUAAAAAUAUAGUGCUGAAAAUUAAAAGGUAGUGCAACAAUGCAGAAAUAUAGUGCAGAAAUGCAGAAAUAUAGUGCAUAAAAUAUAAAACAAUGCAGAAAAUACAAAACUAAAGUGCAAAGUGUGCAAAAAAUGUAAAAAUACAGAACAGAAAAUAAAGAAACAUAGUGCAGAAAAUUAAAAGAUAGUGCAGCGAUGCAGAAAUGUAGAAAUAUAGUGCAGAAAUUCAGAAAUAUAGUGCAAAAAAUAUAAGACGCUGCAGAAAAUACAAAAUUGCAGUGAAAAGUGUACAUAAAAUGUAAAAAUGCAAAACAGAAAAUAAAGAAACAUAGUGCAGAAAAUUAAAAGAUAGUGCAGCAAUGCAAAAAUGCAGAAAUAUAGUGCAAAAAAGAUAAAACAAUGCAGAAUAAUUACUAAGUAAUAAUUUGAACCGUCACUAUACAACAAAUUUUAACUACCACUUAGUACUUGAGAAUUUAAUUAAAGUGAUAUAUAGUAUAUAUAUACUUUGAAAGACUUUUUAAUUGAUUGGAGUUGCCAUCAGUUGUUGGAGAAACCAAUAGUGUUAAAAGUGCACUUCCAUUAUAUGAGUGUGUACAAUCAUAUAAGAAUUUUAGUGUAUUCUACUUGCAGUUUGGAGAAACUUUUUCAUUAACAAAGUACUAUAACAAAGUAUAUUUAGGGUGUGUUUGGUAUGAAGGAAAACAUUUUUCGGAAAAUGUUUUUUCAAUUUUCUCAUGUUUGGUUGGGAGGAAAGUUUAGGAAAAUGUUUUCCAAAUCAACUCAUUUUUCUCAAAUUAAAGGAAAAUGACUUCCCUUUAAAACUUAAGGAAAACAUUUUCCUAAACUUUCCUCCAACUUCAUAUUACAAUUUUUUUGUUGAAAAAAUUAAAUUUUUUUGUUGAACAAAUAAAUUUAAAGCUUAUAUUUAAAAAACAUUUUCAACUUCAAUUUUUUUAUUUUUUUACCCACCCUCACCCCAACCCCCACCCCCCUCCCCACCAAAANNNNNNNNNNNNNNNNNNNNNNNNNNNNNNNNNNNNNNNNNNNNNNNNNNNNNNNNNNNNNNNNNNNNNNNNNNNNNNNNNNNNNNNNNNNNNNNNNNNNNNNNNNNNNNNNNNNNNNNNNNNNNNNNNNNNNNNNNNNNNNNNNNNNNNNNNNNNNNNNNNNNNNNNNNNNNNNNNNNNNNNNNNNNNNNNNNNNNNNAUAUUCCAUACACUUAUACUCAAAUCAUUCAGAUAUUAAUCCAAUAUCGCACAAAUCCAUGGUAUAAACAGUAUACACAAUAACAAAAAAAAAAAAAAAAAAAAUCAAUGUUUGUUUUUAAAAUAUAUUUUCAAUUUUAAAUUUUUAUUUUUUCACCCCCCCACCCCCAAUCCCCAAAAAAAAUUUAAGUUUAUUUUUAAAAAAUAUUUUUAAUUUCAAUUCAAAAUUAUUUUCUACUCUCUAGUAAAAAAAAAGAUAUUUUCUCAAAAAUAAUUAUAUUCAUAAAUCAAACACUAAAAAAUCUUUUCUACUCAUCAACCAAACAUGAUAAAAUAAAUCAAAAGUCUACUAGUUUUCCAGGAAAACAUUUUCCUUCAUACCAAACACACCCUUAAUGUAAAAUCAUUUCCUAUUUAAGAAUCACAUAACAGAGUUCUUAAUUUGACAUUUGGAAAGUUACUUUUUAUCAGAUAGAUUAAAGAACAUAAUUUUGUAAGAAUAGCUAACACUAAGAAUCACAUAAAAAAUAUGUUCAUCAACAUCUGGAAAGUUUUAAGUUGUUUUUAUUUAGAAAAUUAUAAGUUCAAUAAUUAUAGAAUGCACUAAAUUUGGUAAAGUUGGACGGCACAAUAAUAUCACUUCAUUCCUACCUAAUAAAUGAUACUACAAAAUAUGGACACAACAUAAAGUUGUAAUUUGUGAAAUAUUUUCAGAUUAUAUUUUAUGCAGAGUCCAAGUUCUAAUGUUAGUAGCUCCUUCAAACUUUCAAGACUCAAGUAUAUUCAGCUAGUUUUGAGAAUAAAAGUCGAUUUUUAUAAAAUAAGAAAUCAUUGCUAGUAAUAAUGACUUGUCACGAGUUUAUUAGCUUUGAUAAAACUCGGAAGCAAGAUAUAGCAGUAGUAACUUGUUAAAUAAGGUGAGCAGAAAUCAAUACACUAAGGGCCCGUUUGGCCAUGCGAUAUGGUAUCAUGAUAUGGAAUCAUGAUAUGGUAUCAUGAUAUGGAAUCAUGAGAUGAAAUUGAAGGUUUGUUUGGACAUGUGAUAUGGAAUCAUGAUAUGGAAUCAUGAGAUAAAAAUCUCAUAAGUUGUAAAACUAUUAAAAUAGCCCCAAUUGUUUAUUCAAUCUUAUCAAAUAAACAAAAAAUUAUAAAAUCGCAUAAUAAAUUAUUACAAAGAGAUUUGUUUCCCACUUAAAUAACUGUUUCAUCAAACUUAAAUUCAAUAAAAAAAAUUGAACAUAAAUUGUACUUGAUAUGCUCAUAUCUCUCAACUACUCUUACAAAUAACCUAUAAAGUAGGGAAAAAACAUACAUUAGUGAGUAAAUAUUAACUUAGAAGUUAAAUACACUAAGAUAAAAAUUAACAAACAUCACUGACUUCUAACUAUUUACAAGAAAAAUCAAUAGUUAAAUAUUAUUGAAUAACGAAAUUUUAAAAAGUUACCACAAGUUUGAGUCAAAAACACUUCUAAUAAAAUUUAAUCAAAAAAAUUAUAACUAGUCCACUUGACUAAAUAUUAAUAACUAAUUGAUCAAAUUUUCCCAAGUCCUCAAUCAAUUGGACUUGAUAUUCUUCAGUCAUGUGAACGAACAUUUUGCGAAUACUAAGAUUAAGAAAGUGCGGCACCGCCAAUGAAAAUUGUCUUUUAUCAAUAUUAUGCUUAGUCAUAAGAUUAAGACGUUUUUUUUAUUAUGAAAAAUCAAAAAAGUAUUACUCCCUUCGUUCUUAUUUAUAUUCACCAAAUGAAUUUCUACUUUAUCAUUUAUAUUCACCAAAUUUAAAGUAAUAAUAAAUUUUAUAUUGGUGAGAAUAAUAAAUUUUAAAAAGUAAUGAUGUGAUUAUAAAUUUUAUUUACAUAUGAAACAAAUGGUUAGUAGAUAUAAAUGUGGGGUUGUUUUAACAAAAUAUAAACUCAUGGAUCAAUUAUUGAAUUAAAAUAUCUCAAAUCAUGAUAUGGAAUCACAUGGUGAUUCCAUAUCAUGGUUUUUGGAGAAUAUGAUAUCACCUCUCAUGAUAUGGAAUCAGCGUAAAAUCGCAUGUCCAAACGCUGAUUCCAUCUCACGAUACCAUAUCGUGAUAUGGUAUCGCAUGGCCAAACGAUAUGGUGUCGUGAGAUGGAAUCAGCGUUUGGACAUGCGAUUUUACGCUGAUUGAAUACUAAGAUUAAGAAAGUGCGGCACCGCCAAUGAAAAUUGUCUUUUAUCAAUAUUAUGCUUAGUCAUAAGAUUAAGACGUUUUUUUUUAUUAUGAAAAAUCAAAAAAGUAGUACUCCCUUCGUUCUCAUUUAUAUUCACCAAAUGAAUUUCUACUUUAUCAUUUAUAUUCACCAAAUUUAAAGUAAUAAUAAAUUUUAUAUUGGUGAGAAUAAUAAAUUUUAAAAAGUAAUGAUGUGAUUAUUGAAACAAAUGGUUAGUAGAUAUAAAUGUGGGGUUGUUUUAACAAAAUAUAAACUCAUGGAUCAAUUAUUGUAUAAAAAUAUCAUGGUUUUUGGAGAAUAUGGUAUCACCUCUCAUGAUAUGGAAUCAGCGUAAAAUCGCAUAUCCAAACGCUGAUUCCAUCUCACGACACCAUAUCGUGAUAUGGUAUCGCAUGGCCAAACGCCUACUAAUUAAAGCUCUACAAAACUUUGAGAUGCCUCAAAAUUCUAGUUGGCGCUAAAAUGAAGCAACUACAUGUACUGUUGACAAGCUAUUCAAAUUAGUCGUAUUAUUGCUAUACUUUGACAUUUCUUUGCAAUAACAAAGCUUCUUAAGGCACAUAUGUCGUGAUUGUGCAUACUUUUUUCUUGACAUUAGUCCUUCUUGAUUAUGCAGAAAUUUAUUCUUUGGACCUGAUGUCAGGUCAGUCUUUAUGACUAUCUUCCUAAUAGUUGCUGUUUUUUCAUGUGUCUUUGUUGCGAGGAAAUUGUUGGUCAGUGCUCUCCAGCUAAAGUUAGCGGCUUUGAAGGUCUUCAGAGAUGGGCCAUUGUGUGAAGACCGAGCAAUGAGAGUCUGGUGAACUUGCUCGAGUUGAAAAAAAUCCUUCUAUUCAUUAGUACUUUUAGAAGCAGAACAUUAGUUGCUCUGCAAGUAUUAAAAUAAUUAAGUAAUAUCUAACGUGAAAAUGAAUAGGGGCAAUAUUCUUGGUAAUUCAAUUAAAAUUAUGAAUAAUUGGAGGAGAUUAUAAAAUAACAAUAAAGAUCCAUUAGGAAUGAUUAAAUUAUGUAUGUUAAUGAUUGAGGUACGAUGAAAUGAUUGACACUUCCACUUAAUUAGAGAAUUUAUGGAUUUGUCUCUUAAGUGUAAGUCAUAAUAUAAUUGUUAUUGGCCCACUUUUGACUAAUAUAGAUUUUUCUAACUACUGAGUAAUAAAUAAUGUAAAAGGAAAAAACAAUAAGAAGUGAUAUAUGUGACAUUGUUCAAUUUGAUAAAAACCUUUAAAAAAAAUAAUAUUUUUUGUAAUUUGUAAUCUAUAAUAUUUUUUGAUAAUUUGUGUGACUGUAAUUCAUUUCUUUAAGAGUAAAUGGAAAAUUUUACGAAAAUGUGACAUUCUUUUUGGAACGGAUUAAAAAGAAAUGCAUGUCACACAAAUUAAAAUAGAAAAAAAUAUUAUAUUUAAAAUGUAACAUUUGUCAUCUUUUAAAUAAAAUAACUAUAUGCUAUAAUAGGUAAAUAUAAAAUAAUGGUAUAACAAUUGCAUAUACUAACAUGUGUAUAACUCAAGUAUUUUGGCAAUUGAGUUCUAAAAACUAACAAGAAAAAGAGAUUUUUACUAAGGACACCAAAAACAAAUGCCCAAUGACCAGAAAUAGCCAUCUCUUUUUCUUUUCUCAAAAUGAAAAUUUCUCUCUUUGUUAAUCUCUCAGUUACAAAGAAUUGCAAGUACUUGAUUGAUAAUGAAAUGAGGAGUGCUCACUUCACAUAUUUAUAUAGCAAGGCUACAAGUAUAUAAUAUUAUUGGAUAUAUAUGUUCUAUAGUUCUCCAAUUUAAAUUUUUAUUUCAAUUAGUGCUUUAUGUGUUAUAAUUCAAUUUGUAUACAAAACAAAACACCUUUUGAUCCUUAAACCUUUUUGGGUUCGAUAUAUCCUCAAAAUAAAAGGUCCCAUUUUGCUCUUUUAUUAUGUCAUCGUCCUAUCUAUGAGGCACUAAAGCUUCCAACUAUGGCACUACAAUUUUGAAAAAGGUUUUAAUUUGAUCCUCAUUUAUUUUGUGUACAAAUAAUGUGAUCCUAGUCAGCAAAAAAAAACAAUCAACAAAUGAUGGGAGGCACCUAUCAAUGUUUGCCAAUUGGCACCAAUAAUAGAUGUUUUUUGGCUCAAUGAAGAAUGAAAAAAUAUCACAUUCGAUAGUUAAUGAGAUGGGUGAUAUACAAGGUUUAGACAAUAUUCGUAGUUAAUAAUGAGAUGGGUGAUAUACAAGGUUUAGACAAUAUUCUUCCUUUGAGCUAGUAUUUAGGGUGUAAGUUAGGUUCAACACCUAAUUUACAUGGUAUUAAGAUAGAACUCAUCUCUCCUGAUGUUGGGACCCCAAAUUAAAAAUCAUAUUGCUCAAAUAGUGCAUCAUAUAAAUUGAAAUGGAUGAAGUAUUAAAUUCAAGUUAAAUUUGAGGGGCGAAAGAUACAAUUGUUAUAGUGAUAUUUAGUGUUAAAAUAUAUUUUUUAGCAGCAAUAUUUAUUUCUGCAAAAAUAUUUUGCGGCAAUUGAGUUAGUAUCAUUGCAUUCAAAGUCAUAGAAGCUUAUAGCGGCAUUUAUAUAAAAUAUUGAUCAUAAAAUACUCAUAUUUUAUUAUUACCACUAAAUAUGAUAUAAUUGUAAUUAUAAAUCAUUUAUUUGUUAUAUAUAGUGGCUUAGAAUAAUUAAAUAGUGUGUCCAAAUAUGCGCAAUAGAAAUAUUUUCUAGUAAUGCCUAAAUUUGUGUAUAAUAUUAUGGCAAAUUACUAAACUACACUACAUAUGUUUACAUAUUCUCGUUUAAUUCCUAUUCUUUCAUAAAAAUUCAAAAAUCCCUAUUUUUCUCCAAAUCCUCUAUUCCGGAUACUUUAUUUUGAAAGAACCCAAAACCAACCUUUCUCAUCCCCAAAAUCUCGCCUCUAAUCUUUCUCCACUACCAAAUCAGUUACUGAAUUCAAAGCAAUUUGAUUUUCAAAUGAUUCUAUCUCUAUUCAACCAUCCAAAGUUCAAACUAGGUAUUAUCAUCUUUUUCAUUUUUCUUUCAAAAUCAAUUUUUGUGUUUCAAUCGAUUUUGGAUCAAUUGUCAAAAUGGAUCAUCCGUCUUUUAAUAUUGAAAUUUCCCAAAUAAUAACACCUAACAAUGAUCAAUUUUUUUAUUCAGAAGACCCCAACUGGGCAGAACAGAGGUCUAAAAGUUUGCAUGCACCGGCAUUAAUGGCAAAUCAAACUUCUAUGAAGAGAAAAUCCAAAAAGAAAGUGGGGGCAUCAUCUAAAGCAAAAGAUGCAAAAACUCAAAAGAAAAGGGGUAGAAAGGUUGCCCCUCCCAUUUCUCGACCAACACUACCCAUGGUAUGCAUUUCUUUUGCUUUUAAUUUAGACCUGUCAGUAUUGUAUCCACCCAACUUUACUUACACAUUUCAUUCAAUUUAUAAUGUAUCUUCUUUUUGUUUGCAGUGAAUGCGGAACGUAUGUAGCUGUUUUUGCUGAAUUUCUGAGCGACGAAAUGAAGGUCCCAUCGAUUCCUUUUCGAAGUGACUAUCUUCGCUCAAGAUAUGCAACACUGUUAUGGAAAUAUGGUACCGACAAAGCCAAGGCGGGAUACGUUAGAAAGAGUGAUGAUCCUACAAGGCUAAAGGGUGCCUUCAUUCCAUUGACAGAUGAUGAACUGAUAAAUGUAGAGUAAUAGUUUAUUUACUGACUUACAGUCAAGAUGACAAAGUUUUAUUAUUUUGAAGAUACAUUAGGUGUUUUGGAGUAUUCCUCCCCAGGUCAACAUUAUAUUUCUAAGUAAUUCAUACUUCUAAAUUUGAAGAGUUUUUUAUGUCCAUAAUUUUUAUGUCGCUUUUAAAUUCGUUUUCAAUUUAUUUUAAUACCUUAUUAAUUUUUGUAUAUUAUAAGUAUUAUACAUAUCACUACAGCUUCUACUACAGUGAAUCUGAUACAAAAUUUCCACAAAAUUAUCAAGUAUAUGAUACAAAAUUAUUUUCACAAAUAACAAAAUUUUAUUCUUCACACAACAUGGUACAAAUUAUAUUUUAUAAGAUUGGUACAAAUCAUAACAAAUGAUACUAAAUCAUUAUCAUUUACAUAAUAUUAUGUAUAUGAUACUUAGGUGCUUCAAACAUCUCAAAUUGAUACGAUUUUAUUAUUUCAUGCCGAAGUUACAAAGAUAUUAAGUAUCAAAUACACAAAAUUGAUACCAAAAUUACUCUAACUUUUUUUAAGCUGAUAUUAAAUUUCCAGAAAAUUAUUAUGUAUAUGAAACACAAUUGCGUUCACAAAUAUUAAAAUUGUAUGUAUAUGAUAUAUAAUAUUGGUAAAAAAAAUACAACUUUCGAUACUCUAUUAUUAGUAGAUACAAAAAUUUAGAAGAAGAUAUUAUGUAUAUGAUAUAUCAUUGCUUCAAAUGAUACCUUUUUUACAUGUUGUCUCUUUUAACUUUGGCACACAUCGUUACAAAGAUAUUAAAUAUCAAAUACCCAAAACUGAUACUAAAAUUACUCUAACUUUGUUUAAGCUGAUAUUAAAUUUCCAGAAAAUUACUAUGUACAUGAAACACAAUUGCGUCCACAAAUAUUAANNNNNNNNNNNNNNNNNNNNNNNNNNNNNNNNNNNNNNNNNNNNNNNNNNNNNNNNNNNNNNNNNNNNNNNNNNNNNNNNNNNNNNNNNNNNNNNNNNNNNNNNNNNNNNNNNNNNNNNNNNNNNNNNNNNNNNNNNNNNNNNNNNNNNNNNNNNNNNNNNNNNNNNNNNNNNNNNNNNNNNNNNNNNNNNNNNNNNNNNNNNNNNNNNNNNNNNNNNNNNNNNNNNNNNNNNNNNNNNNNNNNNNNNNNNNNNNNNNNNNNNNNNNNNNNNNNNNNNNNNNNNNNNNNNNNNNNNNNNNNNNNNNNNNNNNNNNNNNNNNNNNNNNNNNNNNNNNNNNNNNNNNNNNNNNNNNNNNNNNNNNNNNNNNNNNNNNNNNNNNNNNNNNNUUCCGAUACUCUAUUAUUAGUAGAUACAAAAUUUAGAAGAAGAUAUUAUGUAUAUGAUAUAUCAUUGCUUCAAAUGAUACCUUUUUUACAUGUUGUCUCUUUUAACUUUGGCACACAUCACAUCUAUUGAUACUAUUAUUCUAUCCCAUACAAAAUUUACAAACAAUUAAGUAUCAGACACACAACAAUGUAUACCAAACUAACUUUAUCAGAAAUUAACAAUCAAAAAAUAUAGCCAGAAUUCAAAACAUAACAUUUUUCUUUUAUUGCAUCAUGAAUUAGGAAUCACAAAUUUUCGAUUCAACAAUGCUAGAGCCUUUGCGUCCCUUUUUUCACCUUCAAAACACACAAUUGCACCUGUUAUUGCAUCAAAAUUUUGUAUCUCUUCAUCACUUUUAUCUGAUGUAGCAAUGCAUAGUGGAUACAUACCGAAUCCUACCUCAUGUUUCUUCACUUCUAUGUACAAUUUCACCCCACAUCAUUCCGAAUACACAAUGGAGAUGAAUUACCUUCUACGACGUAUCUGAUCUCCAUAUAUUUUUUUGAUUCAUCAACAUUCAAUUUUGCUGCAAUUGCUGAAUUAAGAUUAACGAACGAAAUAUUUUCCCCAACCACUAUGCCAUCACUUCUGUAUCGCUUGUAUCUAACAUCACUUUCCCAUAUUCCUGAAUGCCUUAACAAGAUCGAAAUAUUCAUUACAAAUCUUCACCAAAGAAUGCACUGCAAAUUUUUUUGAAUCAGCCUUCAGGAGCUUUUAGCAAAAUCGGAAGAGAGAAUUUCAAAAUUUGAAAUUUUAGUUCAGUAAUCGUUUUAUGAAUGACUGAUUUGUAGAUGAAAGAAACGUAUGCGUGAAUUAUGGCAGUCAAUUUUUAUUUCUGUUUUAAAUCCCUUAUUUAACACACUAAACUGAUAAAAUCCCUUUUUUAACGCACUGAACUGAUAAUUACAACUUCUAAAUUAAAGUAUCCGCCCGCAUAUUAAAGUAUCCGCAAGAAAAUAAAAUAAAGAGAAUUUUGUAAUUUAUGAAAGAGUAGGGAUAGAAAGUAAUUUGUUUAUUAUACUAUGUGCUUUGUAUAAUUUUUACUAUUAUUAUUGUCUUUUGAACUUCUUUUUUCCCUUUAAAUUGGAUAAGAUUUAUUCCCUUUUCCCUUUAAAAUAAAAAAGGGAAAAUGGUGGGAGACAAUAAAACGACGAACCUUUAGGAUUUAUGUGGCUACAGUUCUCCUAAUUUCAGCAGCCAAAUACAUGCCUUCGAAUUCAAUUAUGUACAUUCUCAAUUAUUGAACAAAACACUAUAAAUUAUAUUUUGGUUAUAAAAUUAGAGUAAACAAGAAACAAUACUAAAAGAUGAGAGGUCUUGGAUUUGAGUCUCUCUGAAUAUUGAGUUGCUUUUUUAAGGAUCACUUUAAAUACUUUUUGGUGCAAAUUCGAAUUUAGUCGAGCUACAGUGUAAAUAUCUGAUACUGGAUGGAGACAAAAAAAAAAUAGAAAAAAAUGAGUUUUUAUUUUAUUUUAUUCAAGUGGGUACAAUACAAACUCAUAUGUUUGUAUUUAUAGUACUGUUACAUAAAGACAUUGACAUAAAGAUAGUCAUAAAUAUGAUGUAUUAACCAAGAAUGUUGAAAAGGUUACGAAAGUGUGAGAGAUUAUUACAAAGAUUAUGAAGGUGGAGAAGUUAAUUACAUAAUAAUGGAAAUUAUCGUAUACCUUAAAGUAAUGGACAUACAUUAAUAUAAUAAUAUAAUUAACAAAAUUUUGUUACUUUGGGGGUUCUCUCUUUUCUUGUACAGGUUGGCUCCGUCUAUCAGAAGCUAGAAAUUUUACGAUAUUCAAAAUUUUAUUGUAUAUCUCUAAAUAAUUUAUUUUUUUAUUUAUAUACACAAUAUUAUUUUCUACAAGCACAAAUCAAAAUAUAAUUUUUCGACAAAAAAUAUUUCAAUUAUCACUCCUUGGACCAAUAUAGCUAUGCCACUACCGUCGACCACAAAAUAGCUUUUAUUACUCGUGGUGUUAUAAUGUUAUUCUAUACGUUUGAAACAAAAAAAAAUUAUUAUUAUAUAUGCGUACAUAUCGCUUGCUUGAUUUUUAUUCUUUGUAAAAAGGUUACAUAAAUUAUUUAGACUUCAUUCAAUAAUAAAAUAGUUGAUCAUUUCAUGUACUUUUUCAGGGAUAUAUGGGAAAGAAGUAUUAAUCUCAAAUAGUUUUAUAUUAUUGUUCAGAAUGUAAAUAGUUAUUAAUUACACCACCAAGAAUAAUGGUGAUGGGUUGAUUUCAUUCUUUAAGCAGAGGUUACGGAUUCUUGAGAAUAUAAUUUUUUUUGAUGAAAAAUGAUUUUCUUUUUGAUAAUUUUUAUAUGGUAUGAAUUUCGAUCAGUUGAAGGAAGCAAAAUGCAUUACAUUGAUUCUGAACUAAUUUUGUACUGUAUAUCUAACUGCGGGCCUAAUUUUCAUUACUUUAAUUGGCUAUAAAAUUUUCACAAUUCUUUUUUUUUCUCUAUUAGGGUUUUUAUACGAGAAACAGAUCGAACGAAUAUAUUUCAUUUACCUUUUUCAGGGUGGAUCCGACUUUGUGUUCAUUACCUAAUAAUAAAAUAAUAUGUAUUUGAUGUGAUUUGCAUGCAUAUGAGAUGUUAGAUACAUAGGAGAGUGGCGAGCAAGAUGGAGGGAGACGAGCGAGAUUUGUUAUGUAUCUCAGAUACAUGUGAAUCCACUUGGAUACAAUGUAUUUAGAAUACAUUACACCUAAUUUUGAUCCCAUGUAUCCUGAGAUAUAUAUAUCUGGACGCAUCAAAAUCUGAUAAAAUUUGUAAUAUUGCAAACUAAAGUAUCAAGUAAUUAGCUUCUAAGCUAAUGAAAUUUAUGUAAGCUAACCUAAGAAAUAUGUAGUUAACACACACUAUUAGGUACAUUUUCACGGUAAAAAUCUCCUUAAGUACUAUUUGCAAUUAAAAUUUUAAAACAAAUGAGAACUCGGAAAUAGAAUAUCAAAAACAGGACGAAGUAAUAUUUUUUUUUUUUUAUAUAUAUAUAUAUAUAGUAAACCAUACAUGAUAUCGUGAUUAGUAGUAUUCCAAAUAAAUUUGGAAAUCAUGUAACUCCUAGUUACUUUGUAAAUAUGGAUCACUAAAUCACAAAAUAGUACAUUGCAUACAAUUGGACCAUGAACAUGUAGAUAUAGAGUUAAGGCCCAGUUUUUUAAGAAAACCUUGCAGAAAAGGGCCCUCAAUUAUAAGGAUUAGUUUAGUAGCACCCUCCAAAGUAUUAAUGUCUUCCCAAGCUUUUGAAGUCUUUUAAACUUGAGAGUUAAUUUGGGAAUCUUCAAGAUUUUUACCAUCUUUACCCUCUCCAUUUUCACUGUCCAAGGAUGAAAUAUUAACUGGAUAAACUUCGCAAUUGACUUUUGGGGGCAGCUCUUGAUCCACCUUUACCACGGUAGGUAAUUCUUUUUCUGUUGCGACGUUGUUUGACUUAGAAUUUCUGUAUAUUCCAUAUAAUAUCAUUUGGAGCACUCCUAGUAUCAUUCCCGAUAUAUUUGGUACCUGAUUUUUUAUUAUGUGCCGGAAGAACAACAAUUAGAAGAAAAACCAAACAUUAGUCACAUCAUGAAUUUAUGGGCACAAAUUAUGUUAAGCCAAUUUAACGUGUAAUCCUAUUAGGUUAUCUAAAUAAUAAUUAUAUGCAUGUAAUUGUUUAUCCUAGAUGACAUUUAGUGUGUUUAUGCGACAUUUUUCAUAGAUUGAGAGUCAAUUUGACUAAUCUUUGUGUGAAUUUGGAUCAACUCAACAUUUUAAAAAUUAAACUUAGAUUUUUUAAAGCAACACAAAAAGUACUAAGACAAUUAAAUAUCAAUCUUUCUCAUUACAGUUCAAUGAAAACAUAUAUUUUAAAAUGACGAUUAAAGCUCAAAUAGUUUGAAUCUCAAAAAAUAAAAAAUGUCACAUAAAUUGUUAUUAAGGGAGUAUAUAUUUACCGCGACAUAGAAGUCCUUCAAAAGUAAACCAUACAAAAACCACAUUACAGCACUAACUGUAAGAGCUAAUGACAAGUUAAAUGGCAUGAAUUCCACACUUUUGGUCCUUAUUACACGUCCCUGCAAUUUUACAAAAGAAAAAAAACAGAAUUAAAUGGCGUUUAUAAUUAGAGAACUGUCACGGGACUAAGUAACUAAGUUAUCAUAAAUUAAAAUUUAAAGAACGCCCUAAGCCCCUAACUAUAAAAGCAUCAAAAGAAUCGUGACUUGAACUUUCACCUUAUUAGUGAACGUUGGAUUAACCUACCCUAUUUUCCGUAAAACGAAAAAAUAAUAUAAAUAUAUAUAUAUAUAUAUUCAAAGUGAAUUACCAUAAUGCUUAGAGGUGCAACAAAUACACUGAUAGAAAAAGCCAUGCAAAUCCAUCCAAUAACUUCAGCUCUUUUUGUUCCUUGGCAUAAAAUUUGUGUGAGGAAAAGAAUCAAUCCAAAGACACCAAAAUUCAACAGUAGGACAAGUCCUAGUGUUUUCAUCUGCAAGACAAUUUCAAAUUUCAUAAAUCACAAAAUCGCGUUACAAUAAAAUAGGCACACACAUAUAUAUGGAAUUUAUAUGUAUACCCUUGCUUUUUUUGUAGCGUAAGUAAAAUAAAUCGCGACGUAAAUGGUCUCAGCAAUGCAGCCAAAAGAGUUGAUGGUGAUGAGAAGUGUAACAUUGGUUUUAACCAUUGCAUAGUAAAUCCAAAGCAUUGCACUAAAUAAUCCAACAACAUAUGGUAAUGAAUGGAACCCUUCUGAUGAUUUCUUCUUAACGAUCCUGUAAAAUGUUGGCCUGCAAAAUCAUGAUAUGUUGAAAAUAAAAAAUUGUGUAUAAAUUAAAGUUUAUAUGUGUAAUUAUUUUUGGAGAAAUAACUUACACUGGGGCAAUAAACACCAUGAAGGAAACUAAGUUACCUGCAACAUUGUCACAAAUGGAAAAGACAUAUUAAUUACUUCUCCUAUAUAUAUUUCUCAAACAAAAAAAAUUAUUCUAUUUUAAUGCAUGUAAUUAUAGUUUUAUCUAUUUUGAGGUGUUAAUUUAUUAGUAAGAAUUAGUUUAGAUAUACUUCCUUGAUCCAACUAGAUUGUUAUUUGUAAGAGCAUAUUAAUAGAAACAAAAUAGAACCAACUUGCUUGAAAAGAGUAAUUCUAUAGCUAAACAGUAAAAUUGGUUGCUGAUUCUAUGCUACGAGUGAAGUUAAUAACUAAUAAACAAGGCAUGCACAUGAAAAUAUGAUUGAAAUUUUACCCAAAAUGCCAAAGGUGAAGACCAAAGGAUGAGUAUGAGAGACACUAGUCAUUUUUUAUUUUCUUUCUUCUCUUCUCUAAGAAAGAAUUAGAAUUAAAAUUAAGAGUAAAAUGUAAAGGCUAAUUAGUGUUUGUUGAUGAUAAACAAGGGUGAUGGUCACAUAUUUAUAGUACAUGAAGAAGAGUUUAUGCAUAGAAUUGUUACUUAAGCACGACAAAAUGCUGACACUAUAUAUUAGCCCCCACUAACUAUAAUUAAACUAGCUGGAAAACUCCUAUCUCCUCCGCAACUCUAGCAAAACUAAAUAUUAAAAAUUCGUUUAAGCACCGUCAAUAAACAGUUUUCACACCAUUAGACAGUAAUAGUUAGGUAAUAAUAAUAUUUAAAUUCUAUAUUUUAAGAUAGAUAUUUUUGGGUGAUAGUACAUGCAAAUUUAAACUCUUUUAUCUCCUUCGCUUUUAGCUAUUCAGUAUUUCAAAAAAAAUAAAAAUCAUUUUAAUAUAUCAAAAAAAGAUAAUUACGUUUUUUUUAAUUUCUCAAAUCGUUUAUCAAGACCUGAGACUUAAGUUCUACGCUUUGACCAGUAAACGAUACUUCUUUUGUUUCUUUUAUCUGUCACAUUUUGCUUCACGAGAGUCAAUUUAACUAAUCUUCUAAAAGUAAAAUUGAAUUAGAUUAAUUCAAUAUUGCAAAUUUAAAAUUUAGAUAUUUAAAACUAUAUGAAAUUUUUCUAUUAAUAUGAUAAAAGAAUACAUCUUAAAAUAUUGAUCAAAAUUCAUACCAUUUAACUUUUUAAAAAACAAAACGAACCACGACAAGUAACAGAGCAGGGGGGGGGGGGUUUGAAAAUUGGGUCAUUAAUUAGGUAAUUAUAAAUUAAAAAAUAAUGAAGAUAAUUGAUAAUUUAAUAAAAAGUACAAAAAAAUUAUUAUUACGGUUUAAAUUUAAUAAUAAAUAAUAAUAUAAAACAUCUUUUAAGAUAACGAUGCAUGUAACUUAAUUCGAAAAAGGAAUGGGACAUAGCAUUUCGUGGCCGUCUAUUUUUGGAGGACUGAACUUUUAGUCCAUUGUACUUUUACCAGAAGCUAGUACUCCCUCCGUCCCUUUUUAGUUGUCCACUUUAGAAAUGACACACAGAUUAAGGCAACAAUGAUUAGCACAGUGAAGUUACAAUUUUAUCCUUAUGACAACUUUUCACUUCAAAAUUACAACCACUUAUUUGAAUUCAAGUGAAAUAAAUUGGAGGGAAACAACAUACACUUUUACAAUUUUCAAGAAGUGUAAAUAAGGGUAUAAUAGGAAAAAAUUUGUUGUCCUUUCUUGAUUUGUCAAAAUGGACAACUAAAUAGGGACAACUAAAAAAGGAAAUAUGGACAAGUAAAUAGGGACGGAGGGAGUACUUUUUAAAAAGAAAAUUACAGUUACAUAGGAGAUCUGAUAACGGAAAGAGAAAAAGAAGUGGAAAUAUUUACUCGAUGUUUACGUUAAAUCAAUUUAAAUUAUUAAAAUUAAGUAAUUAAUUAAAUAAAUAAAAAUACACAUUAACUUUUUAUAAUAAAAUAAUAGUUAUGUAUAUUUUAAUAUAUAUAUAUCAUGUAUAUAUUUGAUAUGUUGAUUUGACGUAAAUAUUUGAUAGAAAAUAAAGCCAUAGAUCUUGGUUGUUAGAUAAAAGUAUUUAAUUAGACCUAGGAACUUUAAAAAAAUUGGUGCUUUUAACCCAAUAUCUAAGCUAACUUAGUCAGCUUAACAGCCCUUUGAUAGAAACUAUGCUGGAUGGCAGCACUUCAUAACCUUGUGUUUCCAGGAACAAAAUGACAAAAGCAUCCCUUAAUGUUGGGAUUAAUUAAUUUAUUAAUUUAUUAAGCAAAUCCUUAAACAUAAUUCUAACUGUCACGUACUUGAUGGUAGGGGUGUGCAUUCGUUUUUUCGGUUUGGUUUUAUACUAUUCGGUUUGGAUUUUUGGUUUUUGGUUUUGUAAAAGUGUAACCCAAUCCGAUCCAAAAUAAAUUUGGUUUUGUUUGAUUUUCCUCUAUUCGGUUCGGUUUUUUUCGGUUUGGUUAUUCAGUUAUGUCAAUAAUUAAUAAUAUAUAUAACCAAAGUAAUAAUAUUUAAUCCCUUAAAUAUUCUUUCUAAUAUAAAUCAUUAGUAAAACUUAAAGCACAAUACUUAUAAGUAUACCUAUUAUAGAUGUAAUUCAAACAUAAAAUAUAAACGUAAUCAUCAUGAAAGGCAAUAACCAAAAAGGGAUAAAAGUAGCUAACUCCAACUUAAUUCUAAACCUAAACAUUAUAUAUAUAUAUAUAAUUCGGUUUUUAUUUUUUAAAAUUCGAACCAAACCAAAAAACCAAACAAAGUAAUUUAUUAAUUCAAAACCAAUCCGAAAAAAUAAAAAACAAUCUAAAUAAGAAUUCGGCUUGAUUUGAUUUGAUUUGAUUAUUCGGUUUAAUCUGAAUAGUGCACACCCCUACUUGAUGGCAAUAUAAUUUGUUCAAUAAGCAAAAUAAUCAUGUUAAGUAUGGAAAAUUAGCUAGUCAAAGAAAUGAAAUAAAAUGUGUUAGCUAUAGACGCCGCAAAAAAACCUGUCAAACAAAUGGAUCCAGUGUGUAACGAACGAUCAAGUAAUAUAUGGGUGGCUGAUUAACGGACAAAAUAUUAGAAUAUUGUCUAAUGUUCACAAAAUUUUAGGCUAUGAUAUAAAAUUUUCAAUUAACUUAAAAAUAUCCUUGAAUUAUAAAUUGUUGUCUAAAAAGAUCUUUAAGUUAUAAAAAAAGAAUAAGAUCAUUUACUAAAUUCUCGUGAUAUAUAUUGUAUUUGGUGUGAGUGUGACAUAAUUAAAAUUCGCGUGAUAGUUUAACCAUUUUAUUAUUCAUAUCCAAUAUGGGCAGAUUAGAUAUUUUAUUUAUUUUCAAGUGAUUUACUUUAUUUUAGUUAAUAUUGGCCUAUUUAUCACCCCUAAAUCCUAAUUGUAUACUAUCUUGUUACAAAAUAAGUGAUCAUUUAACCUUCUAGAUAAUACCUUGGAAAGUGCCGAUUAUUUAGAUGCAUAACAUUCUUUAACGUGUGAUCACACAUUUUGCUCAUUUCUUUGACUAGCUAGUUUUCCAUGGUUGACAUGAAUCCCUUUUUUUUUCUAAGUGAAUUAAUUAUGUAAUUCCAUCAAUUAAAUACAACACAAUAAAACACAAUGUAAUUUUAUGAAUGAGAUCUGAAAAAAGUAGUAAUUAUGCAAUCUUAUUUUUAAUUGUGUAAGAUAAAAAAGUUGAUAUCGAUUGAUCCUCAACAUUAAUCCUCCUCUUUUAUUCAAAUAAUGAGUUUGAUACAGAUAAUAUCAAUGUGUUUCCUCCAUUAGAACGCGACACAAUUAAUUCAACACAAAGUCUAUUCCAAUUUUGGAUUAAAAGAAAAAAAAAAGAAACACAUGCAUAAUAAUUGCAUAUAUACAGUACUAGUACUUAUUUAUUAUUGACUGUCAAAUUAAACGGACGGGUAUUAUACCAUCUUUUUAUUUUUUAUUUUUUACUCCAAUAAUUCAGCACUUUACGCCUAUUUCAGAUUCUUGCAUAAUAUGUCGUUAACUCCCCUUUCAUAUUUUUUUUUUAUUUUUUGUUACUUUUUUUUUUCGAGACCCUUCAGGUGCUCAAACACAUAGCAGUACUCUUUUUUUUUUCUCUUUUAAAUUAUAUAUAUGAGUAUUUAUUUAACAGUACUUGAAUGCCCCUAUAACUUGCAUCUUUCAUUAGCAAAAAGCACUAUACAAAUACAAUAUUAAUGUACCUACGAUACAAUAUCUCUAACGGGUCAUUUGGUAAAGUAUAUUAGAAAUUAAAAAAUAAUGUAUGUAUUAAUUUUGUGUAUUAUUAAUAUUUUAUUUGGUACAUUUUUUUAGCCUACAUAUUAUUAGUUAUGCACUUUAUUGUGUAUUGAUAUGUGUAUUACUAAUAUGAGUCCGGAGCCAAAAUGACAACUUUUUUCCUUCAAAAAACAAAAACGACAUGUAUUUUUUUCUUUUUGGUUAAAAAAAUAUUUGAUGUACCGUUUUUGUUUUUUGAAGGAAAAAAAUUACCCUUUUGACUUUGAAUUCUUACUAAUAUCAUGAAUUUGCAUGUAUUAGUAAUACAAAGGGUUUAAUUUCAACAUAUGUAUUAGAUUGAUUAAUAACAUAACUAUCCCUCAAAUUGAUCUCAAGACAUUUCCCAUUUCCCAAAGCGAAAGAGUGUGAAGAGUAUUUUACUAAAAAAACAUAUUUUCUAAUAGAAGUUAUGCAAAGUAUUUUAUGUUUAAUACACGUAAUCAAGCACUGCAUAAUAAAUAAUAUUAGUAUAAUUAAUACAAGUAUUACUAAAAUAUUCUAUUCAACAUUAUUUUUAUACGUUCUAUCAAACGACUCCUAAAUAUUUGACUAUGUACUUAACAUAUUGUAGAUAUCAAAAUUUUCUGGACUCUAUGAGAUGAAUCCAAUUUCAGCUAAGAUUCUUGGAGACUACUUUACCUUAAACAUUAGAUAAUAUAAUGCUUAUAUUAUAUAUAUAUAUAUGUGGUAAUAUAUUCUUUAAAAAAGUCAUCUGAAAUAUUCCAUAAACUCAUGCAAUAUUUACAAAAAAAUCAAGAUAUAAUCGGACUCUUCUUCACAAUCAAAUACAUUAGUAGAUACACAACGAGAUCCAAAUAAUUCUACAUUCAAGAAAUAUGUAAUUAACGUCCUUAAAUCACGGAGAAAAAUUCAGAGAGAAGAAUCAAAGAAAAACAUAUUUAUUCUCAUAUUAUUUAUUAAUAAAAUUAUAUUUUUUUAUAUUUUAUUUAUAGUUACAAUUUAUUUUCUAUCACUCUAAAAUCGAUCGUGAAUACCUAUAUAUCUCCUCAAAUUAAGUGUUCCAGACGAACUUAUAAACUGUCAUCAGCAAAAGGGUAUUGCGCUUUAUCUCUAUAUUGCUUUUUAAAUGUCACCUGUCAUUACCCAAUUCAUAAGUCACAGACUCUGUGUUUGUGGUUACAUGUGGAACCACAUGAUCUCAUCAUUAAAACUCCUUGCAUUUUAACACACUACUACGAUAAAAUAAAACAUUAAAGAUAGACAAUUUUAUUAUGGAAAUAACAAAAAUUUCCAUCUAUUUAUGAAUUAGCGACAGAUUAUACUAAAAUUUAAUUAGAUAGAAGUUAUUUAGUAAUGAAUUAGAUAAAGAUUACUGAUAAAAUUCGUAGUUAAUUUCAUAUUUUUUAAAUAGUGACAUAUAGAAACUCAAGAAACAAACUCUAUUUCUUCUAUAUUUUUGUAUAAAAUAUUAGGAGUAUUUAAUUUGUUGCCAUAAAAGGUACUUUUGCCAAACCUUUGAAGAAGUUAGGAUUGAUUUUUGAAAUAGUACGUGUUAUAGUUAGUUGUCGAUUGCAUGAAGAAGAUAAUAUUCAUUUUACGUGGUAAUCUUUCUAUCAAUAGAAUAAGAUAUCAAGAUUUGUUUACCCUAUUAAAAUAUGUUUCUAGCAUUAGACAAACAUAGUAAGGAUUUCAUUAGAUGGCGGAUUUAGGAUUAUUUUUUUUACGACUAAAACAAUUUAAAGAUAUUUUUAUAUCCCCGUGAUAUAUGUUAG
Molecule: long non-coding RNA, 24919 nt
Filed under: Solanum tuberosum (potato)
Lineage: Eukaryota; Viridiplantae; Streptophyta; Magnoliopsida; Solanales; Solanaceae
Description: long non-coding RNA (STUB_LNC004004)
Source: RNAcentral